AACCAUAGAAACCUGCGGAGUACCUGCGGAGGGAUCAUUAAUGAAUAAACUUGGUCAGGCUGUUGCUGGUUCUUUCGGGGACAUGUGCACGCUUGCCACCAAUUUUAACCACCUGUGCACCUUUUGUAGACUGGAAACGUUUCUCGAGGCAACUCGGAUUGAGAACCGCUGCGCGCAAGCCAGCUUUUCUUGUGUUUCUCAGUCUAUGUUUUCAUAUACUCCUAAUGUAUGUAAUCGAAU
RNAcentral lists this unclassified non-coding RNA (240 nucleotides) under soil metagenome. Its description in RNAcentral is "partial contains 5.8S ribosomal RNA, internal transcribed spacer 2, and large subunit ribosomal RNA". The record is from RNAcentral.